CGCGGCCUAUCAGCUUGUUGGUGGGGUAACGGCCUACCAAGGCGGUGACGGGUAGCUGGCGUGAGAGCGUGGCCAGCCACACUGGGACUGAGACACGGCCCAGACUCCUACGGGAGGCAGCAGUGGGGAAUAUUGCACAAUGGGCGCAAGCCUGAUGCAGCGACGCCGCGUGAGGGAUGACGGCCUUCGGGUUGUAAACCUCUUUCAGUAGGGAAGAGGCGAAAGUGACGGUACCUGCAGAAGAAGCGCCGACUAACUACGUGCCAGCAGCCGCGGUAAUACGUAGGGCGCGAGCGUUGUCCGGAAUUAUUGGGCGCAAAGGGCUCGUAGGCGGUUUGUCACGUCGGGAGUGAAAACUCGGGGCUUAACCCCGAGCCUGCUUCCGAUACGGGCAGACUAGAGGUAUGCAGGGGAGAACGGAAUUCCUGGUGUAGCGGUGAAAUGCGCGGAUAUCAGGAGGAACACCGGUGGCGAAGGCGGGUCUCUGGGCAGUAACUGACGCUGAGGAGCGAAAGCGUGGGGAGCGAACAGGAUUAGAUACCCUGGUAGUCCACGCCGUAAACGGUGGGUGCUAGGUGUGAGCGGUAUUCCACGCCGUUCGUGCCGCGGCUAACGCAUUAAGCACCCCGCCUGGGGAGUACGG
This 643-nucleotide ribosomal RNA is filed under the name uncultured Actinomycetes bacterium. Its description in RNAcentral is "bacterial SSU rRNA". It matches the Rfam family "Bacterial small subunit ribosomal RNA", at positions 232 to 885 of the family's 1533-position model. Lineage: Bacteria; Bacillati; Actinomycetota; Actinomycetes. The record is from RNAcentral.